Molecule: ribosomal RNA, 253 nt
Filed under: uncultured bacterium
Lineage: Bacteria
Description: partial 16S ribosomal RNA
Rfam family: Bacterial small subunit ribosomal RNA
Source: RNAcentral
GACAGAGGGUGCAAACGUUGUUCGGAAUUACUGGGCGUAAAGCGCGUGUAGGCGGCUGCGCAAGUCGGAUGUGAAAUCCCAUGGCUCAACCAUGGAAGUGCACCCGAAACUGCGUAGCUAGAGUCUCGGAGAGGAAGGCGGAAUGCUUGGUGUAGAGGUGAAAUUCGUAGAUAUCAAGCGGAACACCGGUUGCGAAGGCGGCCUUCUGGACGAUGACUGACGCUGAGACGCGAAAGCGUGGGGAGCAAACAGG